This 1662-nucleotide ribosomal RNA is filed under the name Triticum aestivum (bread wheat). Its description in RNAcentral is "partial small subunit ribosomal RNA". Lineage: Eukaryota; Viridiplantae; Streptophyta; Magnoliopsida; Poales; Poaceae. The record is from RNAcentral.
AUGAUGCGCUGUAGGAGAGAAUGGCUGCUCGCGCCGUGCGUCAUCUCCGUGCUGCUGUUGGCACCAAUCCUCUGCGAAGGAUUGUUCUUUGGCGCAAGCGAGGUGUCGCCGCCUGCGCUGACGCCACCCUUCAUCAAGCAAUCAGGCGAACGGGGAAUACCGCAGGCUGUUGGCGUCGUUUGGCCGGUCGCCUUCCUCCUCACAUCAAUGACAUUGGUUUUGCUUAUCAAGUUCUUCUCCGAGUCAAAAUAUGGAUUCAACGACCGUCAAUUCCACGGUUCAUUGGAUGAUCAACCACGGUCGGUACACUCUCUAAGCAUCACGGUGUCGUUUGUAGAGAUUGUCAAAUCCAUUGGCAUCUUGCCAUACAACACCGGGUACCUCAAAGUGUUACUCCUCUUCAUCCUUGCACCAACUACGGCGUCUUCCACCGGCUGCCCCUCCCCAACCUUCGACGGAGCACUUGAGUUCCCGUUGUUUCACAGGGACCAUCCAUGCGUCCAGCAACACCUCGGCAAUACGAGGUCAUCUGGAAACAUCGUUGAGAUGGACCUGCCGCUGCCGAUUGACUUGAUACAGAAUGACGAUAUAAGCAACUUCCUCUUUCUGAUGCCCAUCAAGCUGGGCACGCCACCGGUCUGGAAUCUUGUGGCAGUUGACACUGGAGCCUCACUUUCUUUUGUUCAGUGCCAACCAUGCACUCUCCGGUGCCACAAGCAAUCUGAUGCCGGGGAAAUAUAUGAUCCUAGCAAGUCGGAGAGUUUCAGUCAUGUUGGGUGCUCAGAAGAGAGCUGCCGCACGGUCCAACGGGCGCUUCGUCUCCAAUCCAAAGCAUGCAUGGAGAAAGAGAACAGUUGCCUCUACAGUAUGACGUUCGGAGGAACAUCUUCAUAUUCCGUCGGCAAGCUAGCGAGGGACAGGCUCGCAAUCGGGCAGUAUGCCAAGGGAUACAGCUUCCCUGAUUUCCUCUUCGGAUGCAGCUUGGACACGGAGUAUCAUCAAUAUGAGGCUGGCCUAGUCGGAUUCGCUGACGAGCCGUUUUCAUUUUUUGAACAAGUGGCACAUCUGGUCAACUACAAGGCCUUUAGCUACUGCUUUCCAAGCGACAGAAGGAAGACGGGGUACCUGUCCAUUGGGGAUUACCCCCAUGUCAACUCCACAUCCUAUACUCCCUUGUUCCUGGCUCGGCAACGAUCACAUUAUGCACUUAAGCUGGAUGAAGUGGUUGUCAAUGGGAUCGCGCUGGUCACAACCCCCUCAGAAAUGAUUGUAGACUCCGGGUCCAGAUGGACAUCACUGCUGUCCGAUACCUUCAACCAACUUGACGCAACAAUCACCAAGGCUCUGCAACCUCUGGGAUAUAAUCGCAGCUAUUAUAGGGGAUCAGAUUAUAUCUGCUUUGAGGACGCGCACUUUCAACAGUUUAGCAAUUGGGCCGCUUUACCAGCAGUGGAGCUGAAGUUCGACAUGGGCGUUACACUGACUCUACAACCCCAGAGCUCGUUCCAUUUUCACAACGACUAUGGACUGUGCACAUACUUCAUGAGGGAUGCCAGUCUGGGAAGUGGUGUGCAGAUACUAGGAAACACGAUGACACGGUCUGUUGGCAUCACAUUUGAUAUCCGAGGGGGUCAAUUUGCGCUCCGCAAGGGAGACUGCUGA